GGACGGUUAGCUCAGCAGGUUAGAGCGCUUGCUUGACAAGCAAGAGGCCGUUGGUUCGAGUCCAAUACUGUCCACCA
Molecule: transfer RNA, 77 nt
Filed under: Clostridiales bacterium
Lineage: Bacteria; Bacillati; Bacillota; Clostridia; Eubacteriales
Description: tRNA-Val
Rfam family: tRNA
About the family: Transfer RNA (tRNA) molecules are approximately 80 nucleotides in length.
Source: RNAcentral